AGAGGGUUAGUUAAUUUAUUGUCUAGAAAUGACAUUUAAGUUGGUCCUUGAGAAAUGUUAGAAUUUUUAUAGCAGUGAUAAUGGAAAGGCAUUCUAAGUGGAUAAAAACUGUGGUUAGAAACAUAGACUGGAGAGCAGGGUAUCUGAAACAAUGCUGAGCCAUUGUUUGCUAAUAGUGGACUAUGUAAGCAAGGCAGUGGAAUAUAGGCUAGAAGGGUAUAUUGAAGCCAAAUUAAAGAAGGAUGUGAAGGUUAGGCUAAGAAGUGUGAUGAGCUUUAUUUAGGUAAUAGGCAAUGAGGAGAAAUUGAAACAUGAAGGAACAUAAUUUGAGGUGUGAUUAUUUGAGUUUUUAAAAUAUUAUCACUGUGCAUCAGAAUGGGUUAGGGAAGGCUUAAAUCCUGGAUGCUGGCUCAGCACCUAUUAGAGCAAUUAAAAUGAGAAAUGAUGCAGACUAAACUAGAAUUUCAGGUAAAAAUGGGAAAAAUAGGCGUUAAAAAAUGGUAUAAACGUUAAAAAACUACACUUGACUGAGUUAGAAUAUGGAGGAAAAGGAAGUAUGGAGAUCAAAAGAAAACAUCAGGAUUUGGGAGCUUGGACACAGGGGAAUGACAACGUAAAGGGAUUAUUUCAAAGAUAAUUUGGCAUAGACACUUCUAGACUCUCCUCUUCAUCUGUGUGUGGUGAAAAAUUAUGUGGUACACAAGACAGAAGAAAAGCCAAACAUACAAGAAACAAAGCAUUCAACAGAAGAUUCAGAGAUGACCCAGAUAUUGAAACUAAAUGGAAAUGCCAAUUCUCAAGCUCAUAUGUAAUUUCAACUGGAUUUUCAAAUGCAAAAUAAGUUGAAUCUCUACCUUAUGCCAUAUAUAAAAAUUAACCCCAAAUGGACUGAAAACAUAAAUAUAAGCAUGAAUAUUAACACUUUUGGAAGAAAUCAUGGGGUAAAUCUUCAUAACCCUGGAUUUGGCAACGAAUUCUUAGUUAUGAUAUCAAUAACAUAAAUAUGGAUAAAUUGGAUUUCAUCAAAAUUAAAAGCUUGUAUGUACCAAAAAUGUUAUCAAAGAAGUAAAAUGACAAUCUAGAAUGGAGGAGAAAAUAUUUGUGAAUCAUAUCUCUGAUAAAAGUCUAAUAUUCAUACUAUAUAAAGAACACAGUUCAACAAAAGACAAACCACCUAAUUAAAAAGAGGGUAAAAGACUUGAAUAGAAAUUUCACCGCAGAAACUAUACAAAUGACUAUCAAACACUUAAAAAGAUGCUCAUAUCAGUAGUCAUUAGGGAAAUGCAUAGCAAAACCACAGUGAGGGAUGACUUCAUACACAUUAGGUUGUAAACACACAGACACACACACAUGCACACAGUGUUGGCAAGGAUGUGAAAAAAUUAAAGCCGUUGUAUAAUGCUGGUGGGAAUGUAAAAUUAUUCAGUUGCUAUGAAAAACAAUUCAAUGGUUUCUCAAAAAGUUAAAAACAGAAAUCCCACAUGACCCUUCAAUUCCACUCCUAGAUAUGUACCCAAAAGAAUUAAAAACAGAUACUCAGAAAGGUACAUGGUCACACAUUUUAUAGCAGCACUAUUCAAAAUGGCCAACAGGUGAAAAC
Molecule: long non-coding RNA, 1600 nt
Filed under: Homo sapiens (human)
Lineage: Eukaryota; Metazoa; Chordata; Mammalia; Primates; Hominidae
Description: HSALNT0327786
Source: RNAcentral